AGAUUGAACGCUGGCGGCAUGCUUUACACAUGCAAGUCGAACGGCAGCGCGGGCUUCGGCCUGGCGGCGAGUGGCGAACGGGUGAGUAAUACAUCGGAACGUGCCCAGUAGUGGGGGAUAGCUCGGCGAAAGCCGGAUUAAUACCGCAUACGACCUGAGGGUGAAAGCGGGGGAUCUUCGGACCUCGCGCUAUUGGAGCGGCCGAUGGCAGAUUAGCUAGUGGUGGGUAAGCUA
Molecule: ribosomal RNA, 234 nt
Filed under: uncultured soil bacterium
Lineage: Bacteria
Description: partial 16S ribosomal RNA
Rfam family: Bacterial small subunit ribosomal RNA
Source: RNAcentral